CAGUCGCCGCGGGAAUACGAAGGUCCCGAGCGUUGUUCGGAAUCACUGGGCGUAAAGGGAGCGUAGGCGGCGUGGUAAGUCAGAUGUGAAAUCCCGGGGCUCAACCCCGGAACUGCAUCCGAUACUGCCAUGCUAGAGGAUUGGAGAGGUAGCUGGAAUUCUUGGUGUAGCAGUGAAAUGCGUGGAGAUCAAGAGGAACACUCGUGGCGAAAGCGAGCUACUGGACAAUAACUGACGCUGAGGCUCGAAGGCCAGGGUAGCGAAAGGGAUUAGAUACCCGGGUAGUCCCUGUCUCUUAUAA
RNAcentral lists this ribosomal RNA (301 nucleotides) under uncultured bacterium. Its description in RNAcentral is "partial 16S ribosomal RNA". It matches the Rfam family "Bacterial small subunit ribosomal RNA", at positions 509 to 809 of the family's 1533-position model. The record is from RNAcentral.